Molecule: long non-coding RNA, 767 nt
Filed under: Homo sapiens (human)
Lineage: Eukaryota; Metazoa; Chordata; Mammalia; Primates; Hominidae
Description: HSALNT0371992
Source: RNAcentral
GGAGCUCAGCUUAGAGAACAGGAAGUGGGAGCCACAUACCCCGAGCUGGCGGCUUGAGCCUGUGGUAUCUAGGCUCACCUCACUGCGGUUGGUGGAGGUGAUGGAGGUUGCAGCUUGGCCAGCAUGGUAGAAAGGUGGCAGGGCACGUCUGGCUUUUACCACCCAGUUGCUUCGAGCCAGGAGAUGGAGGAGUCAUCUGUUGCACGCUGGAGGCUGGAGCCUGCAGAUGGCAUGGUUCUGUGGCUCACCUCGCUGCAGUUGGUGGCAGAGACAGAGACUGCAGCUUGACCAGAGUGGUGGAGUGGUAGGAGAGUGUCUGCGGGGGCCUCCUGGAGGUGAUAUGUAUCUCAAGAGCACUCCACAACAAAGAUUCUGCCUGCAAUCCUCCACUUCAAGGUCUGUUCCAGGAAACCUGUGUAACACAGUUAUGCAUAGAGUGGUCUUAGGAAGCUGACUCUAACAUGAAAAUUUAGAGUUGGAUCUUUUGCUGACAUAUUGAAUAUUCAUAAGAGCAUAUGAUACAUUUGUCUAUCAUAAACAUGUCAUUUCAAAAAACCCUCAAAGUUGCCUUGUAGAACAUAAUUUUAAAACUAGUGUGUAGGAAUAUUUCAUAUCAGUUAUUCAGUCUUCUUAAUAUCUGAACCGAAAUUAAUCUUCCAUUCUGCUUUUAUUUAUAAAUAAUGAUUUAUUGUCAGAUUCAAUAAUUUAUAUUUUCAUUUAUUCUAAGGUAGGAAAUACCAGCAUAAAAAUAAAUUAUUUGAAACAAA